CGGCAGCGCGGGGAGCUUGCUCCCUGGCGGCGAGUGGCGGACGGGUGAGUAACGCGUGGGAAUCUACCCAGUAGCGGGGGAUAACUCCGGGAAACCGGAGCUAAUACCGCAUACGCCCUACGGGGGAAAGCGGGGGAUCUUCGGACCUCGCACUAUUGGAUGAGCCCGCGUCGGAUUAGCUUGUUGGUGGGGUAAUGGCUCACCAAGGCGACGAUCCGUAGCUGGUUUGAGAGGAUGAUCAGCCACACUGGGACUGAGACACGGCCCAGACUCCUACGGGAGGCAGCAGUGGGGAAUAUUGGACAAUGGGCGAAAGCCUGAUCCAGCAAUGCCGCGUGUGUGAAGAAGGCCCUAGGGUUGUAAAGCACUUUCAGUGGGGAAGAAAAGCAUGGGGCUAAUACCCUCUUGUGCUGACGUUACCCACAGAAGAAGCACCGGCUAACUCCGUGCCAGCAGCCGCGGUAAUACGGAGGGUGCGAGCGUUAAUCGGAAUUACUGGGCGUAAAGGGCGCGUAGGUGGCCAGGUCAGUCGGGUGUGAAAGCCCCGAGCUCAACUCGGGAAUUGCAUUCGAUACUGCCUGGCUAGAGUGUGAUAGAGGGAAGCGGAAUUCCGGGUGUAGCGGUGAAACGCGUAGAUAUCCGGAGGAACACCAGUGGCGAAGGCGGCUUC
This 670-nucleotide ribosomal RNA is filed under the name uncultured Gammaproteobacteria bacterium. RNAcentral describes it as "bacterial SSU rRNA". It matches the Rfam family "Bacterial small subunit ribosomal RNA", at positions 67 to 728 of the family's 1533-position model. The record is from RNAcentral. Lineage: Bacteria; Pseudomonadati; Pseudomonadota; Gammaproteobacteria.